RNAcentral lists this ribosomal RNA (447 nucleotides) under uncultured bacterium. RNAcentral describes it as "bacterial SSU rRNA". It matches the Rfam family "Bacterial small subunit ribosomal RNA", at positions 355 to 825 of the family's 1533-position model. The record is from RNAcentral.
UCGGGAAUUUUGGGCAAUGGGCGAAAGCCUGACCCAGCAACGCCGCGUGAAGGAUGAAGUAUUUCGGUAUGUAAACUUCGAAAGAAUAGGAAGAAUAAAUGACGGUACUAUUUAUAAGGUCCGGCUAACUACGUGCCAGCAGCCGCGGUAAUACGUAGGGACCAAGCGUUGUUCGGAUUUACUGGGCGUAAAGGGCGCGUAGGCGGCAUGACAAGUCACUUGUGAAAUCUCUGGGCUUAACCCAGAACGGCCAAGUGAUACUGUCGCGCUAGAGUGCAGAAGGGGCAAUCGGAAUUCUUGGUGUAGCGGUGAAAUGCGUAGAUAUCAAGAGGAACACCUGAGGUGAAGACGGGUUGCUGGGCUGACACUGACGCUGAGGCACGAAAGCCAGGGGAGCAAACGGGAUUAGAUACCCCCGUAGUCCCUGAGCGGGCUGGCAAGGCGCAU